Long non-coding RNA from Pollicipes pollicipes, 278 nucleotides. RefSeq lists it as uncharacterized. The transcript is spliced from 3 exons. Lineage: Eukaryota; Metazoa; Arthropoda; Thecostraca; Pollicipedomorpha; Pollicipedidae. The record is from RefSeq and is a predicted model, not a curated record.
UCGCUGUCGCUCGGCCGCCGCCCCAUGCCCAGCCCCAAGCCGGAGCGGGUGCGGCAGCUGGCGGCCAGCCGCACCGCCGGCCCGCCGCCUCCCGUCGUCAGAUGCUGUGGAGCACUGCCAGGGGUCCGAACAUCCACUGAAUCCUGCGACAGCGGAGUGACGUCAUGCGAUUCAACGGCCUCAUCGUCUUCCGGCCCGGCUGCGAGUGACGUCACACGCGCCAAGCUCAACGCCGCCGACAUCACGCGCGAAGGGGCGGGCGGUGUCGGCUGCGAGAG